GAACGCUGGCGGCGUGCUUAACACAUGCAAGUCGAACGGGAAUUACUUUAUUGAAACUUCGGUCGAUUUAAUUUAAUUCUAGUGGCGGACGGGUGAGUAACGCGUGGGUAACCUGCCUUAUACAGGGGGAUAACAGUCAGAAAUGGCUGCUAAUACCGCAUAAGCGCACAGAGCUGCAUGGCUCAGUGUGAAAAACUCCGGUGGUAUAAGAUGGACCCGCGUUGGAUUAGCUAGUUGGUGGGGUAACGGCCCACCAAGGCGACGAUCCAUAGCCGGCCUGAGAGGGUGAACGGCCACAUUGGGACUGAGACACGGCCCAGACUCCUACGGGAGGCAGCAGUGGGGAAUAUUGCACAAUGGGGGAAACCCUGAUGCAGCGACGCCGCGUGAAGGAAGAAGUAUCUCGGUAUGUAAACUUCUAUCAGCAGGGAAGAUAGUGACGGUACCUGACUAAGAAGCCCCGGCUAACUACGUGCCAGCAGCCGCGGUAAUACGUAGGGGGCAAGCGUUAUCCGGAUUUACUGGGUGUAAAGGGAGCGUAGACGGUGUGGCAAGUCUGAUGUGAAAGGCAUGGGCUCAACCUGUGGACUGCAUUGGAAACUGUCAUACUUGAGUGCCGGAGGGGUAAGCGGAAUUCCUAGUGUAGCGGUGAAAUGCGUAGAUAUUAGGAGGAACACCAGUGGCGAAGGCGGCUUACUGGAC
This 702-nucleotide ribosomal RNA is filed under the name uncultured Lachnospiraceae bacterium. RNAcentral's name for it is "bacterial SSU rRNA". It matches the Rfam family "Bacterial small subunit ribosomal RNA", at positions 31 to 734 of the family's 1533-position model. The record is from RNAcentral. Lineage: Bacteria; Bacillati; Bacillota; Clostridia; Lachnospirales; Lachnospiraceae.